UUCGCAAUGCCCGAAAGGGUGACGAAGCGACGCCGCGUGUGGGAAGAAGGCCUUCGGGUUGUAAACCACUGUCGGGAGUUAAGAAAUGCAAGGGUGCUAAUAGUAUCCUUGCUUGACUAAGGCUCCGGAGGAAGCCACGGCUAACUCUGUGCCAGCAGCCGCGGUAAUACAGAGGCGGCAAGCGUUGUUCGGAGUUAUUGGGCGUAAAGAGCACGUAGGCGGCUAUGUAAGUCGGUUGUGAAAGCCUUCCGCUCAACGGAAGAACAGCAUCCGAUACUGCAUGGCUUGAGUGCGGGAGGGGAGAGUGGAACUUCUGGUGGAGCGGUGAAAUGCGUAGAUAUCAGAAGGAACGCCGGCGGCGAAAGCGGCUCUCUGGCCCAUAACUGACGCUGAGUGUGCGAAAGCUAGGGGAGCAAACGGGAUUAGAUACCCCGGUAGUCCUAGCCGUAAACGAUGGGCACUAAGUAGAGGGGUUUU
This 477-nucleotide ribosomal RNA is filed under the name uncultured anaerobic ammonium-oxidizing bacterium. RNAcentral's name for it is "bacterial SSU rRNA". It matches the Rfam family "Bacterial small subunit ribosomal RNA", at positions 365 to 832 of the family's 1533-position model. The record is from RNAcentral.